AUGUUAAACAAAUACAUACAAGAGAGUAAACGUUUGUUAUUGUGGACAGAUAUGAAUAUUAAAAAACCCGAUAUUGAAAUAGUAUGUUUUUUAUGUCAUUAUGGCGAUUAUAUAUAUAAAGGAAGAUUAAUCCCUUUUUACGAUAUUUACAUACAUAGUGAGUGUUUAAAAUGGAGCUUAAACUGUGUACAAGAUGAUAAUAAUAGUAGUAGUAGUAGUAAUAAUAAUAAUAAUACUGGUAAUAAUAAUAAUAAUACUAGUAAUAAUAAUAAUAAUGUUAGUUGUAUACAUACUUCUGUUUGUCACAACAUGGACCAUGAAAAAGGUGACAAUUUAGACAUAACGGAGGGCAUCACUGUUGUACAGAAUACAAAAAAGGAAAAGGAAGAAGUAACCGAAAAGAAAGAGGCAAUCGAAACGAAAACGAUAACCGAAAUAGAAACGGCAACCGAAACAGAAACGACAACCGAAAUAGAAACAGAAAGUUAUAAAAUUUAUAAUACUACCAAUGUAGACUGCUUGUAUAACAAAAACAAUGAAGAUGAAUUGUUAAAUAUUGAUCCAAAUUUGAGUAAAAAUAGUAUAGUAGAAAAUAGAAGUGAUACUAAUUGUGAAAGUAGCAACAAUAACUUAGAAAAUUUAAAGACACAAGUUAAUAUGUUGAAAAAACAAAAAACGGAAUUGUUUUUUAAAAAAUAUGAAGAUGACAAUUGCACUGUUAAAAACAAAACAAACACUACAUUCUCAUUUAACGAACAAACAAUUAAUGAUAAUAAAAAAAACAAUGUAAGUAUAGAAAAUACAGAAAUUUAUAAUUUAAUAAACAUAUCUGGAAGAGAUAAAUAUAAUAAUUAUUCAAAUAAUAUUUUAUGUGAUAAGAAUAAAAAUAAUAACAUUAAUGUAAAUGAAGAGGAAGUAAAAGAAAUAAUAUAUGACAGUAUUGAAUCAGUUUGUUUUCUUUGUGGGUAUAAUAAUGCUAGUGUAUAUUGUAGUAAUGGUACUUGUGACAUUAAAUUUCAUUUAAAUUGUGCUUUUUAUGCAUCAAUAAUAAAAAAUAAAAAUAGUUAUAACAAUAAAUUUUUUCAGUAUGUAAAUUGUUGUAAUAUAAGUAGGUUUACAAAAGAUACUAUUAUAUAUAAUGAUAAAAAUUCGAAUCGUUUUGUAAGUACUAAAAAGUGUAGUAAAAAUGGAAAUAAUUAUAUAAAAAUGGAUGAUAAAUACAAUAAAGACAUUUAUCCAAUUCAUAUUAUUUAUAAUAUAAAAAAAAUAUGGUGUAAUCGGUGUUGGAACGAAAAAAAAUAUAUAAUAUAUUUGAUUCAAAGAGAGAAACAACAUCAAGUGUGGAACCCAUUUUAA
This 1356-nucleotide long non-coding RNA is filed under the name Piliocolobus tephrosceles (Ugandan red Colobus). Its description in RNAcentral is "lncRNA (ENSPTEG00000016152.1)". Lineage: Eukaryota; Metazoa; Chordata; Mammalia; Primates; Cercopithecidae. The record is from RNAcentral.